GAUUAACGCUGGCGGCGUGCCUAACACAUGCAAGUCGAACGAUGAAACUUAAAUGAUUUCUUUGGAAUGUACUUAACUGGAUUAGUGGCGGACGGGUGAGUAACGCGUUAGUAACCUGCCUUACAUUAGGGGAUCGCCGUUUGAUACGACGUAUAAUACUUUAUGAAAUUAUUCCUUCGCAUGAAGCGUUAUUCAAAGUGUUAAUGGUGUAAGAUGCACUUGCGUCUGAUUAGCUAGUUGGUGAGAAAAAAGCCCACCAAGGCAACGAUCAGUAGCCGGCUUGAGAGAGUGUACGGGCACAUUGGGACUGAGGCACGGCCCAGACUCCUACGGGAGGCAGCAGUGGGGAAUUUUGCACAAUGGGGGAAACCCUGAUGCAGCGACGCCGCGUGAUUUAGAAGGCAUUCGGGUUGUAAAAAGCUUUUGUAUAGGAAGAAAAUGACAGUACUAUACGAAUAAGGUCCGGCUAAUUACGUG
This 477-nucleotide ribosomal RNA is filed under the name uncultured bacterium. RNAcentral describes it as "partial 16S ribosomal RNA". It matches the Rfam family "Bacterial small subunit ribosomal RNA", at positions 28 to 507 of the family's 1533-position model. The record is from RNAcentral.